AUGGGCGUAGCCGAAAACCCUCUAAGAGUAGGCA
This 34-nucleotide non-coding RNA is filed under the name Kordia algicida OT-1. Lineage: Bacteria; Pseudomonadati; Bacteroidota; Flavobacteriia; Flavobacteriales; Flavobacteriaceae. The record is from RNAcentral.